GGACCCGCACAAGUAGUGGAGCAUGUGGUUUAAUUCGAAGAUACGCGCAGAACCUUACCAACACUUGACAUGUUCGUCGCGACUUUAAGAGAUUAAAGUUUUCGGUUCGGCCGGACGAAACACAGGUGCUGCAUGGCUGUCGUCAGCUCGUGUCGUGAGAUGUUGGUUAAGUCCCGCAACGAUGCGCAACCCUCACUUUUUAGUUGCCAUCAUUAAGUUGGGCACUCUGAAAGAACUGCCAGUGAUAAGCUGGAGGAAGGUGGGGAUGACAUCAAGUCCUCAUGGCCCUUACGUGUUGGGCUACACACGUGCUACAAUGGUAUCUACAACAGGAAGCAAGACUGCGAGGUCAAG
This 354-nucleotide ribosomal RNA is filed under the name uncultured bacterium. Its description in RNAcentral is "bacterial SSU rRNA". It matches the Rfam family "Bacterial small subunit ribosomal RNA", at positions 917 to 1267 of the family's 1533-position model. The record is from RNAcentral.